RNAcentral lists this long non-coding RNA (504 nucleotides) under Homo sapiens (human). RNAcentral's name for it is "HSALNT0108829". The record is from RNAcentral. Lineage: Eukaryota; Metazoa; Chordata; Mammalia; Primates; Hominidae.
AUCAAAUUCCCCAAUAGGUAUUUCUGAGUUUCCCGUCAUAGUUCAUCUCUUAUCAGUUGACACCACCUUAUUUCUUCUGCUCCCUGCAUCACCCCACUCCACUCCUUCUGGAUCAAGUUUCCUGCAAGCCAGAUAGUUCCUACAUCACUCUAGGCCAUUUAUGAUUUGUUUAUCUGCUUCAAUUUCCUGAAGCUAAGCUAAACCAUCGGUACCCACUAUGCUCAGGCUGGCAUGACCAUCACAAACAGGGGGAGCAGAGCACAGUGGCUUUACUAAUGGAUAGAGCAAUUUGUUCCAAACUGCAGCUUAAAAUGUCACAUUAUUGAUGUGGCAUUAUCAAGUUUCAUCAUGAUUGACCUGAUGUCACACUGUUUUGUAACACAACUGGUUGCUGUCUAUCAAAGGCACUUACAGAAACCUAUUAUAAACAUGGAGAACAAUUUGUGCCAGCAAAGAACCAUCUGGUAUACUCUUUGCUUUAAAGAUGAGCCUUGUGGUUAUUUA